This 72-nucleotide transfer RNA is filed under the name Camelus bactrianus (Bactrian camel). It matches the Rfam family "tRNA". Rfam says of the family: Transfer RNA (tRNA) molecules are approximately 80 nucleotides in length. Their secondary structure includes four short double-helical elements and three loops (D, anti-codon, and T loops). Lineage: Eukaryota; Metazoa; Chordata; Mammalia; Artiodactyla; Camelidae. The record is from Rfam by way of RNAcentral. RNAcentral also lists the same sequence under 1 other name.
GGGGGUAUAGCUCAAUGGUAGAGCAUGUGCUUAGCAUACAGGAGGCCCUAGGUUCAAUCCUCAGUACCUCCA